Molecule: ribosomal RNA, 2859 nt
Filed under: Salmonella enterica subsp. enterica serovar Enteritidis
Lineage: Bacteria; Pseudomonadati; Pseudomonadota; Gammaproteobacteria; Enterobacterales; Enterobacteriaceae
Description: partial 23S ribosomal RNA
Rfam family: Bacterial large subunit ribosomal RNA
Source: RNAcentral
GGGUUGUGAGGUUAAGCGACUAAGCGUACACGGUGGAUGCCCUGGCAGUCAGAGGCGAUGAAGGGCGUGCUAAUCUGCGAUAAGCGCCGGUAAGGUGAUAUGAACCGUUAUAACCGGCGAUACCCGAAUGGGGAAACCCAGUGUGACUCGUCACACUAUCAUUAACUGAAUCCAUAGGUUAAUGAGGCGAACCGGGGGAACUGAAACAUCUAAGUACCCCGAGGAAAAGAAAUCAACCGAGAUUCCCCCAGUAGCGGCGAGCGAACGGGGAGGAGCCCAGAGCCUGAAUCAGCAUGUGUGUUAGUGGAAGCGUCUGGAAAGGCGCGCGAUACAGGGUGACAGCCCCGUACACAAAAGCGCAUGUGCUGUGAGCUCGAUGAGUAGGGCGGGACACGUGGUAUCCUGUCUGAAUAUGGGGGGACCAUCCUCCAAGGCUAAAUACUCCUGACUGACCGAUAGUGAACCAGUACCGUGAGGGAAAGGCGAAAAGAACCCCGGCGAGGGGAGUGAAAAAGAACCUGAAACCGUGUACGUACAAGCAGUGGGAGCACCCUUUGGGUGUGACUGCGUACCUUUUGUAUAAUGGGUCAGCGACUUAUAUUCUGUAGCAAGGUUAACCGAAUAGGGGAGCCGGAGGGAAACCGAGUCUUAAUUGGGCGUUAAGUUGCAGGGUAUAGACCCGAAACCCGGUGAUCUAGCCAUGGGCAGGUUGAAGGUUGGGUAACACUAACUGGAGGACCGAACCGACUAAUGUUGAAAAAUUAGCGGAUGACCUGUGGCUGGGGGUGAAAGGCCAAUCAAACCGGGAGAUAGCUGGUUCUCCCCGAAAGCUAUUUAGGUAGCGCCUCGUGAAUUCAUCUCCGGGGGUAGAGCACUGUUUCGGCUAGGGGGCCAUCCCGGCUUACCAACCCGAUGCAAACUGCGAAUACCGGAGAAUGUUAUCACGGGAGACACACGGCGGGUGCUAACGUCCGUCGUGAAGAGGGAAACAACCCAGACCGCCAGCUAAGGUCCCAAAGUCAUGGUUAAGUGGGAAACGAUGUGGGAAGGCCCAGACAGCCAGGAUGUUGGCUUAGAAGCAGCCAUCAUUUAAAGAAAGCGUAAUAGCUCACUGGUCGAGUCGGCCUGCGCGGAAGAUGUAACGGGGCUAAACCAUGCACCGAAGCUGCGGCAGCGACACUGUGUGUUGUUGGGUAGGGGAGCGUUCUGUAAGCCUGCGAAGGUGGCCUGUGAGGGUUGCUGGAGGUAUCAGAAGUGCGAAUGCUGACAUAAGUAACGAUAAAGCGGGUGAAAAGCCCGCUCGCCGGAAGACCAAGGGUUCCUGUCCAACGUUAAUCGGGGCAGGGUGAGUCGACCCCUAAGGCGAGGCCGAAAGGCGUAGUCGAUGGGAAACGGGUUAAUAUUCCCGUACUUGGUGUUACUGCGAAGGGGGGACGGAGAAGGCUAUGUUGGCCGGGCGACGGUUGUCCCGGUUUAAGCGUGUAGGUGUGUGUUCCAGGUAAAUCCGGUUCACUUUAACACUGAGGCGUGACGACGAGGCACUACGGUGCUGAAGCAACAAAUGCCCUGCUUCCAGGAAAAGCCUCUAAGCAUCAGGUAACAUCAAAUCGUACCCCAAACCGACACAGGUGGUCAGGUAGAGAAUACCAAGGCGCUUGAGAGAACUCGGGUGAAGGAACUAGGCAAAAUGGUGCCGUAACUUCGGGAGAAGGCACGCUGACACGUAGGUGAAGUGAUUUACUCAUGGAGCUGAAGUCAGUCGAAGAUACCAGCUGGCUGCAACUGUUUAUUAAAAACACAGCACUGUGCAAACACGAAAGUGGACGUAUACGGUGUGACGCCUGCCCGGUGCCGGAAGGUUAAUUGAUGGGGUCAGCGCAAGCGAAGCUCCUGAUCGAAGCCCCGGUAAACGGCGGCCGUAACUAUAACGGUCCUAAGGUAGCGAAAUUCCUUGUCGGGUAAGUUCCGACCUGCACGAAUGGCGUAAUGAUGGCCAGGCUGUCUCCACCCGAGACUCAGUGAAAUUGAACUCGCUGUGAAGAUGCAGUGUACCCGCGGCAAGACGGAAAGACCCCGUGAACCUUUACUAUAGCUUGACACUGAACAUUGAGCCUUGAUGUGUAGGAUAGGUGGGAGGCUUUGAAGUGUGGACGCCAGUCUGCAUGGAGCCGACCUUGAAAUACCACCCUUUAAUGUUUGAUGUUCUAACGUGGACCCGUUACCCGGGUUGCGGACAGUGUCUGGUGGGUAGUUUGACUGGGGCGGUCUCCUCCUAAAGAGUAACGGAGGAGCACGAAGGUUGGCUAAUCCUGGUCGGACAUCAGGAGGUUAGUGCAAUGGCAUAAGCCAGCUUGACUGCGAGCGUGACGGCGCGAGCAGGUGCGAAAGCAGGUCAUAGUGAUCCGGUGGUUCUGAAUGGAAGGGCCAUCGCUCAACGGAUAAAAGGUACUCCGGGGAUAACAGGCUGAUACCGCCCAAGAGUUCAUAUCGACGGCGGUGUUUGGCACCUCGAUGUCGGCUCAUCACAUCCUGGGGCUGAAGUAGGUCCCAAGGGUAUGGCUGUUCGCCAUUUAAAGUGGUACGCGAGCUGGGUUUAGAACGUCGUGAGACAGUUCGGUCCCUAUCUGCCGUGGGCGCUGGAGAACUGAGGGGGGCUGCUCCUAGUACGAGAGGACCGGAGUGGACGCAUCACUGGUGUUCGGGUUGUCAUGCCAAUGGCACUGCCCGGUAGCUAAAUGCGGAAGAGAUAAGUGCUGAAAGCAUCUAAGCACGAAACUUGCCCCGAGAUGAGUUCUCCCUGAGACUUAGAGUCUCCUGAAGGAACGUUGAAGACGACGACGUUGAUAGGCCGGGUGUGUA